AAAGCAAACAAGUAGAGUGAAAAUUAGGAUAACAAAGUGAAACUGUUCCAAGUCCAAAUAUUUGUGCCUGGUCAGAUCAUUUUUUUUCACAACUCUACUGUAAAAGGCAAAUAUCGUGGUCCUCCUUUCUAUUCACGCUAUUCUAAGCUGCCUGAUUCUGAUUCCAUCCCUUAUAUCCUCUAGCACACAUCAUAUUUUUUUCAUAAACUCCUUCAUCUUAUUAUUCAAGUAAAAACAAUGAAUAAUUUUCUUUCAGGUUAUUGAGCUGAAUGAAGUCACAGAGGGGUCUAAUGAAUGCCAGAACCUCCGAGAAGAAAAGAAUGGAAGCAGAAUCUUCUCAUUUCAUUAGCAGCAAGUCUCCAGAUGGUGUCAUGGUGUUUCAGAACAAGAAGGAAGGAAGGAUAGUGAGCAUGUUGCUCUCUUCUGUCUCCUCGAAACACCUUUAUCUCCAGUCCCGUGACAUUGAUGAGAUGGACUUUUUACUCUCAAUACAAGCAGAAGGUGCUAAGUAACAACGUCAGCCUUAUGCCCUUAUUUUUAGCUAGAGAAACAACUUGUAGACAACCAGGUCAGGAGUUUCAUUUUCAAUAUUUAACUGGUUUUGCGUUACUUUAAAAAAAAAGUGCUUCCAAAACAGCCUAUCUUACAUAAAUAAUGUGUUUCUCAAAGGGCCUGAUCCUACUAGAGUCUUUAAGAAAAAGUAUCAAAUGUGUUGUGGUUCUGUAGCUAAAUUGCCUGUACUGUGUUACUUUACUGUGUAAUAUCCUAUGCUUGUCUCAGUGCUUUGAGUCUCUCCUUCCCAGUCCAUGUCAGUCAUUUCUUAACAAGGCAAUUGCAACCCCUCGCAAGGAGGUGAGUUAUGUUAAUAACUGCCACAGACAUCUUGGGGACUCUGGAUCGCUUUUCCAUUUUGUGUUCCCUAAUUCCCUUUAGUUUAAAAAUGGAGAUUGAUUGUAUGAAUAGCAAAAAAGAAAAAAAGAAAAGAAAAAAAGAUUAUUGUAUAUAUUCUUACUUCAGUUUUAGUCAGGGCUAAUGAACAUUUGCUUCAUAAACUACUAAAGUGUCUUAUGUGCCAUGCUAGGCAUGAUUUUGAUAAAAUGUUACCUUAAUUUCUAGUAGAAUCUGUCAUUAACUGUGCAGUAUCUUUUCAGUUUUUCCAGGUAGCACUACUUUUAAAAACACUUCUUUGUCCAGCACAUUCAGUUCUGUCAUAUGCUUAGAAAGGAUUAAUUGUUUCACCUUUCAGAGAUGCAAGCAGAAAUUAUUUUUAGAAGAAUUAGGUGAUGGUAAGACUUAAAUGUGCCUCUGACUUUGCAUGCAGGUUACUAUUGCUGUAUAAGCAAGGGAGAUUUUUAAUGGUGAAGACUCAUUGAGAGUGUUACAGUUGGAAAUUGUUCCUCAGAGCAGAGAACAUUAAAUUCACUCUGCCCACUGGUGUUUUCAUGGUAGCACAGGAAGGUGUAUGUGCCUGGGCUUCUCAGGGCAGGCUGAUUAGGGGGCUGUUUAGUAUUCUUUUUCAGUGAAACUAAUUGAAGGACUGUUCAUGGCUUGUAGCUCCUGUUGCGUCAUAGAACUCAGUAGAGGAGGAUAAAUGUAGUGCUAACUCUUUCUCUUGUUAUAGGAAAUGCUGCUUUCUGUACUGGAAAGGAGAGGCAUAACAAAGAACAGGGUUGGUUUUCUUUUCUCAGUUUCUGCCAAUUGUAUUUUCCAUCCCACUAGAGCAUCCACUGCUGUCUUAUGACAAACACCAGCAGUCUUCCAUUUUGGAAAUGUGUCCAUUUAAGGAAGGGAAUAAGGUAUUCUUCAUGGGAUGAGUAACAUGCUUAAGACCAACAUUAACAACCUUUCUCCAUCCCUAGUUUCUUUUUUUCCUAUUGACUUGUCUACUCCUUGUUCCCAACUUCUGGUGUUUUGUUUUGGUUUUUUUAUGACAUUUUUGAUCCCUCACACACACAUCCCUUUCUCCAUCCAUUCUCUUUUUCUCUCUCCUUCUUCUUUUCCUGAUAGACUGGCAUACCCUUGUGGCAGUUAGUUUUGCUUGGCUGGGUCAACAUCUGUCUCCACGGAAAAUAUUUUCUUUGGGUACUUAAAAACAUGGCAUAUACUCUGAACUGUUACCUCUAAAGGCCAUCAUCCUUUGUGUUUUUUUUAAUGUAGAACACAAACAACAAAAGUAUUUUCUCAGUGGAGAUGCAAUCUGGGGCUUUUUUACUGUUUGCAGACUGAUUAGCUGUAAAAUUAAAGCCGAAUACUUUGGAGAGCAGCACUAGGUAAAACAAACGUCACCAAUCAGUCAUGAAUGAGUUUUCCUCAGGUUUGAAUUUAUUGUUUGCCUUUCACUAAUUCAAAUAAAAUUUGAAUCCAAACAAGCCA
This 2373-nucleotide long non-coding RNA is filed under the name Coturnix japonica (Japanese quail). Its description in RNAcentral is "lncRNA (ENSCJPG00005005645.1)". Lineage: Eukaryota; Metazoa; Chordata; Aves; Galliformes; Phasianidae. The record is from RNAcentral.